Molecule: ribosomal RNA, 500 nt
Filed under: uncultured bacterium
Lineage: Bacteria
Description: partial 16S ribosomal RNA
Rfam family: Bacterial small subunit ribosomal RNA
Source: RNAcentral
AUUGAACGCUGGCGGCAGGCCUAACACAUGCAAGUCGAGCGGUUGACGGGAGCUUGCUCCCUGAUUCAGCGGCGGACGGGUGAGUAAUGCCUAGGAAUCUGCCUAUUAGUGGGGGACAACGUUUCGAAAGGAACGCUAAUACCGCAUACGUCCUACGGGAGAAAGCAGGGGACCUUCGGGCCUUGCGCUAAUAGACGAGCCUAGGUCGAAUUAGCGUGUUGGUGAGGUAAUGGCUCACCAAGGCGACGAUCCGUAACUGGUCUGAGAGGAUGAUCAGGCACACUGGAACUGAGACACGGUCCAGACUCCUACGGGAGGCAGCAGUGGGGAAUAUUGGACAAUGGGCGAAAGCCUGAUCCAGCCAUGCCGCGUGUGUGAAGAAGGUCUUCGGAUUGUAAAGCACUUUAAGUUGGGAGGAAGGGUUGUAGAUUAAUACUCUGCAAUUUUGACGUUACCGACAGAAUAAGCACCGGCUAACUCUGUGCCAGCCGCCGCGGUAA